UGAGUUGAGAUGGAUCUUGUACAAAGAUAGGGCAAGAGCUUUAGAGAUUGCCUAUCAAGAGUGAUGAGGAGUCUAAAGGUGUCCAGAAGUGAUCUGAUGGAUGUUCUAAGCAAGGUCAAAGUCUAGGAGAGACUUAGAAGAGUGUUGAGGAGCAAAUGGGCGAGUGUGCAAAGAUAGGGCGAGGCUGUACGGCCAUGUACGGAUAUGUACGGACCGGUACGACCUGAGAGAUCACAACUCGUCCAUUUGAGAUGUUUUGAGAUUGUGCAAAGUCCGGGACAAGAUGUGCAAGCUUAGGGCGUGAUCAGAACAUGUCAAGGAGGCUUUGUGCAAUCUUAGGGUGUUGGGAGAAGGCCCUGGUCGUUUGGAAUCAAGAAGGCAUCAAGAAGAUGCUUUGUGGAGGCAAACAACCAAUGGGAGCUUCCUUGUGUGUGAUUGGCUAGUUCUGGUCUUGGACAGGCUGUCUCUUGCUGUAAAGAGAAGGGAGCCACGACCAUGAACCUGGACAGAUGCAUGGGAAGAUUAGGAGGAGCCUAAGGAGAGCCAAUCACAAGCAAGGAGCCAGCUUGCCUUGGUUUGAAUUAAAGUGAACAGCCAACCUUAUCCUCACAACUCUUCAGAUAUUACAAGAAGACCAUCUCAUCUACACCAUCCAUUCACUCAAGUUAAUAUUAUCCAUUAGAUUUAGGUUUCAGAUUGUGUAAACCUAUUGAGCUUAUAAAUAAGCAUGUAAAUGGCGAUUUGGAGCCUUAAGGGAGUAAGGGGGAUUUCCCCUCUCCACUUCUUGGAAAUAAGAAAAUGUGUUCUUGAAUCAGAUUCCCUUAAUCUACCCCUUUCUUAGUCUCUAAUCUUCUAAUCUCUCAAAGUCUCUUGUUUCUGAUUUAAGUAAACACUCUCAUCAAUCUCUCUUUCUAAAUCACCUAGAGCAAGCUCUCAUCUUUCUCCAUUGGAGUUUAUACACACACAAACACAACUAGAGAAGAGAACUCUACAAAUCUCACAUGGUAUCAGAGCCAGGUUCAUCAGAACCUGAGCUGUAGCUUCCGCAAAUCACUUGCUCUCACCUCAGCUCAAAUCCA
Molecule: long non-coding RNA, 1079 nt
Filed under: Brassica rapa (field mustard)
Lineage: Eukaryota; Viridiplantae; Streptophyta; Magnoliopsida; Brassicales; Brassicaceae
Description: long non-coding RNA (BRAP_LNC008211)
Source: RNAcentral